GGAUUGAGUGAGUGUAAUAGCAUAUCCUGAAGAUAUCUCACCUUUUAAGUGUUCAGUGCCAGAAGUAAACACUGGAGCUUUUUCCCCAUAGCCCCUUUUGGAUCAAACCACUUGCAGAAAGCAAGAAGCCUACACAUGAUGCCAGAGACUUCCUGGUCCUACUGCUGCCACAGUCCAGUGAUGACCUUCUCACUACUGUCACAGUCACACUGAGAAGCUCCCAGGAGAAGCCAGAUGAAGUGUGGAAAAGAGUAGAGAGCCUUGAGACAUAGCAGGGAAAGCCAUGUGCUCAACCUCUUUUCUGCCA
RNAcentral lists this long non-coding RNA (307 nucleotides) under Numida meleagris (helmeted guineafowl). Its description in RNAcentral is "lncRNA (ENSNMEG00000004715.1)". The record is from RNAcentral. Lineage: Eukaryota; Metazoa; Chordata; Aves; Galliformes; Numididae.